GCAAGUCGAGCGAAUGGAUUAAGAGCUUGCUCUUAUGAAGUUAGCGGCGGACGGGUGAGUAACACGUGGGUAACCUGCCCAUAAGACUGGGAUAACUCCGGGAAACCGGGGCUAAUACCGGAUAACAUUUUGAACCGCAUGGUUCGAAAUUGAAAGGCGGCUUCGGCUGUCACUUAUGGAUGGACCCGCGUCGCAUUAGCUAGUUGGUGAGGUAACGGCUCACCAAGGCAACGAUGCGUAGCCGACCUGAGAGGGUGAUCGGCCACACUGGGACUGAGACACGGCCCAGACUCCUACGGGAGGCAGCAGUAGGGAAUCUUCCGCAAUGGACGAAAGUCUGACGGAGCAACGCCGCGUGAGUGAUGAAGGCUUUCGGGUCGUAAAACUCUGUUGUUAGGGAAGAACAAGUGCUAGUUGAAUAAGCUGGCACCUUGACGGUACCUAACCAGAAAGCCACGGCUAACUACGUGCCAGCAGCCGCGGUAAUACGUAGGUGGCAAGCGUUAUCCGGAAUUAUUGGGCGUAAAGCGCGCGCAGGUGGUUUCUUAAGUCUGAUGUGAAAGCCCACGGCUCAACCGUGGAGGGUCAUUGGAAACUGGGAGACUUGAGUGCAGAAGAGGAAAGUGGAAUUCCAUGUGUAGCGGUGAAAUGCGUAGAGAUAUGGAGGAACACCAGUGGCGAAGGCGACUUUCUGGUCUGUAACUGACACUGAGGCGCGAAAGCGUGGGGGAGCAAACAGGAUUAGAUACCCUGGUAGUCCACGCCGUAAACGAUGAGUGCUAAGUGUUAGAGGGUUUCCGCCCUUUA
This 807-nucleotide ribosomal RNA is filed under the name Bacillus cereus. RNAcentral describes it as "bacterial SSU rRNA". It matches the Rfam family "Bacterial small subunit ribosomal RNA", at positions 57 to 842 of the family's 1533-position model. Lineage: Bacteria; Bacillati; Bacillota; Bacilli; Caryophanales; Bacillaceae. The record is from RNAcentral.